This 316-nucleotide unclassified non-coding RNA is filed under the name plant metagenome. RNAcentral describes it as "partial contains 5.8S ribosomal RNA, internal transcribed spacer 2, and large subunit ribosomal RNA". The stretch from base 1 to 105 matches the Rfam family "5.8S ribosomal RNA", at positions 50 to 154 of the family's 154-position model. The record is from RNAcentral.
GAAAUGCGAUAACUAAUGUGAAUUGCAGAAUUCAGUGAAUCAUCGAGUCUUUGAACGCACAUUGCGCCCCCUGGUAUUCCGGGGGGCACGCCUGUCCGAGCGUCAUUGCUGCCCUCAAGCCCGGCUUGUGUGUUGGGUCGCCGUCCCCCUCUCCGGGGGGACGGGCCCGAAAGGCAGCGGCGGCACCGCGUCCGAUCCUCGAGCGUAUGGGGCUUUGUCACAUGCUCUGUAGGAUUGGCCGGCGCCUGCCGACGUGUUCCAACCAUUCUUUCCAGGUUGACCUCGGAUCAGGUAGGGAUACCCGCUGAACUUAAGC